CAGUCUCAGUUCGGAUUGAAGGCUGAAAUUCGCCUUCAUGAAGCCGGAAUUGCUAGUAAUGGCAGGUCAGCAUACUGCCGUGAAUACGUUCCCGGGCCUUGUACACACCGCCCGUCACACCAUGAGAGUUGGGGAUACCCGAAGCCUGUGAGCUAACAGUAAUGAAGCAGCAGUCGAAGGUAGAAUCAAUGAUUGGGGUGAAGUCGUAACAAGGUAAC
RNAcentral lists this ribosomal RNA (218 nucleotides) under uncultured bacterium. Its description in RNAcentral is "partial 16S ribosomal RNA". It matches the Rfam family "Bacterial small subunit ribosomal RNA", at positions 1283 to 1500 of the family's 1533-position model. The record is from RNAcentral.